Long non-coding RNA from Phacochoerus africanus (Common warthog), 2334 nucleotides. RefSeq lists it as uncharacterized. The record is from RefSeq and is a predicted model, not a curated record. Lineage: Eukaryota; Metazoa; Chordata; Mammalia; Artiodactyla; Suidae. The transcript has 4 exons.
AAUCAGCGGUGAGCAGACGAGCAGUCUUCCAAUCUCCUAAAAGACACCACGUGGUGGGCUUCUUUUGAAAAGCAGGAAGAAAUAAAACCAGUGGGAAGGGUUACAAGGAGACAGUUUUACACAGUAUUCCGAAGAAACUUCUAACCAUCUAGAAGAAGGCUAUUACCGUCAGAUUGACUGCCUAGAGAUGUUCCGUGCGAGGUGCUGAAAGAGGCCAGCGAGCCUGGGUGCCGCAACACCGCCCCGGUGUAGAAGCAGGCGGCGUCGGGCGGCGCGGGAGGGCGCGGGGCGGCUGCUGCCCGCGUGGGGCCCGGACCGGGACUGGGCCACUGUUCCACCGCGAAGCGCGGCGCCAGGAAGCGGCCGUCUCUCCGGAGCAGCAGGUGCUGUAAACGUGCCUUUGCAAAUCUACACUCAUUAGAGGAAAACUAAGCAUUUCACGAGUUUAAAAUGAGGCCGCGAGAAGUGCGCUUCGCUCGCUAGGGCGACCCUCUCUUCCGCACCCGCACGCUGGUUUUUAUUUGCUACCCUCCGAAGCCCGCUCACCGCGCACAGCUGCACCAGCCCUGCCAACCCGUGCGUUCCGGUACUCUGCUGGGGAAGUUGCAAAGCCAGUCGAAACUCACGGAAGAACUUACCUGAGACGAUCCCAUUCGACAGGACCCCCAGCUGGUAAAGGAGGCAGCAGCAGAUGAGUUUCCGGAGCCCCACAGGACAGCCCCCACAGUCAACGGCAGUGUUGCCUCGGGACUGGUGGAGGACUGCCCUGUGCGGGCAGGAGCGCCGCGGUGUCCGAGCCGAGGCUCGCCGCCUGCACCCGCGCGGAACAGGCAGAGGCUGGUGCCACGGUCCCGGCUGCCUCGCGUGCCAAGCUCGCACCCUCCUCUACCGGAGUGCUCCAGGCUCCUACCCGCAGCAGCGUGGGAGACAAUUUGUAAGGGGUUGAGGGGAAGACAAGGCUCGUGAGGUGGGGUGUGGACAAGAAAAGAUUCCAGAGGAUCUGACAAGAAAAAGGGAGCAAGGGGUGCCCGCCAAGAGUGACUUUGCGGGACAAAGGUCCCAGAACACCGCACACGUGCUCACACGCCCGGUUAGGGUGGGGUGGAGAAUCCCAAGCCCCUCACCUGACUCCUGAUUGGCCACUCCUGAAGGCCGGAUUUGCAUCCUUUGGUAGGGGGCACCCCCCCUCCUCCCCACUGAGGUGUGUGCAGGUAGAAGGGCCUUCCUCUCCCUACCUCACCCCCUUACUCGGGCCCCUCCUUCAGGGGAGUUCUCCCCCCAUCUACACACCACACAGAGCCAAACAGUGCAGAUUUGAGCACAAAGCAACAGCCAUUUACCAAAGACCUUUGAUUUUCCUUCCCAUCUUUGUCUCCAGGAAUUUUCUAAGCCUGGAGAUAAUGUAAUUCGUCAUGGAGGGUGCUUCAGAGGUUCCCAGGACAGUAGACACCCUGACAUUUCAGAGCCCCUUAUCCCACCUUAUCUUUCCCGCCCCCAUUCAUCAGUGCUAUCAAUUUCAACCCCCCCCCCGCCGCCCCGCCUUUCUCUAAAGCACCCCCCCACAAAAAUGAUAAAUCACACACACACACACACACCCCUAAUGAGGGUGAGAUUAAGCAGAGCGGCAUUAAAUAUUGUAUUCUGAAGAUCUCAGGUCAAAUGAGAUUAUUGUGGCUUUUUAACUGUUUUUUUUUUUUUUUUUUUUUUGCAACUUAAAAAAUAGGUUUUUCCUAUUUUCGUCUUCUGGGGGAAAUUCGACCAUAAAUAUUCUUGCUUCCUCUGUUACAGCUCUUCACAAUACCUACUCCCCUUUCCACACUUCUUUCUCAGCCACAUCCAACCUUUCACAUCAGACUCAGGGGUCUUUGAUCUCACCUGCCGUUUCCAUCCUCUGGACUAGUCUGGACACCUAGAAAUAAGAGUUGAUGUAAAUCAGUUUUAAAAAAUUCCAGCACUGAAGUUGGGUCACUGCAUCCUUUGUUGUUUUACCUUCUGUCCCUCGUGUCAAAGGUGAAUGCUAUGCCUUUAAGGGAGGCAGAUGAUCUAAUUUCAAAGGAAAGCUAUUGUUUGAAUAAGCUGAGUCCUAGAAUACUUAGAGUGGUCCAGAGUUUAAAAACAAAGACACUCUAGGUGUGUCUGUCUCCAAACCUUGUCUUGUAAAAAUCUAUAAAACUGGAGUAACUAGGGUGGGUGUGGGUUUCCAGACAGUCAAGAAAUAUCUGUGUUACUUAGGAGCCUACACCCUCCUUUUUAUGAGACUCAAUUAUACCGAGUGAAAACUAGACAAGAAAUCAGAGGCAGUUUAUUUUUAAGAAAUAAAGCAAAUUUUUAAGA